Molecule: long non-coding RNA, 2257 nt
Organism: Microcebus murinus (gray mouse lemur)
Lineage: Eukaryota; Metazoa; Chordata; Mammalia; Primates; Cheirogaleidae
Source: RefSeq, a predicted model, not a curated record
CACCGUGCUAGGCGGAACGCGUCCGUCCUGCCCGCCUGCGUCAGACCAGAUCCUGGCUUCUGGGUUCCUGACCUCGCUCGGCCUCUGCAUCAUCUGCGGGACGUUUGGGCUGUCACCUCACCUCCCUCAGCGGAAAGUGUCGGCUUAGCCUACAAAAAGGCCUCCGGGCCUGGCCUGAUGCCCACCACCAGCAGGGACAGACACAACCACAACCCCCCCACCUUCCCUUGAAGGACUGGUGACAGCAGAUGCGUCCUUGCCAGUCCUGUCCAACUCAGCUUUGGCUGGGGAGCUAAUUUUGCUGGAGGCAGGCAAAGCACUAGGAUAGGAGGCGGAACGGAACAGUGGUAAUAAAGAAUGCAGGCUUUGCAGUCAGCGGAAUCUGGGCUCUGUGUUUGGCUUUGCUACUGGGGCCUUAAGUUGAUCUCCUUCAUCUGUACAAGAGGAUGAUGUCAUCUUCCUAACAGGAUCGUGAGGAUUAAACCAGACAGUAUGUGGAAAACUCUCCAUCCCAUGCUUGGCCUUCCUCAGGAAUAAGUUUGCCAGUGGUCUCACAGACCAGGUGGUCAAAUCCACCAAAGGUUUCUGCCUGCACUAUCAGGCAUAGAAAGCUCCUUUCCAUCACAUGAUUAUAAAAAUAUUGCUUCUAUUUUCUUUCUAAUACUUUUCUUUUUUUUUACAUGUACUGAAAUAUGUUUAAGGUCAGAAAUAGGGAUCUGCCAUUACUUGUCACCCAAAUAGUUAGGCAGAGCUGUUCUAUUACCAUUUAUUCAUUUUCUUCCACUAAUUAGCAUAUUAAAAGGUGACAUUUCAAAAGUCUUAGGAACACAUGGAUUGUCUGUUGCCAGACUCCACAUGCUAAUUCAAAUAAAUAUUAGGUUGCAUUAUUCUUCACUGUGGAAUUAACAUAAUGCCACAUCCCUCUUCCUGUAAAUGCCUUGUCUACUAAAGAUAAAACACUGCAUGCUACCUUAUCCUCAAAAAGCUUAUCAUCUAAGUGGGGUGAGGAAAUAAAGAAAAGAUAUAAAUACAAAUAUAAAGGUUAAACUGUACAUAGAAACUAAAAGCAGUAGAGGAGUUUAUAGGAAUUUCAGAAAAAAAAAGCAAAAGGCCACAUGCCACCUGGAAAUGAUGCAGAGGGUACUGUCUGUGUAAUGGCCAGGGACUGUCUUCCUGAGGCCUUGACAAAUUGACCCCAUGCUGGUCCCUGCUUCCUGGGCUCUGAAAUCAGACUCUGUCCUCAAGAGAGAAUUCACUUCUUCCUUUUGGAGCAGUCUCACCAUACCAAUAUCACAAGACUGACCAAAAUCAGAAUUCCAGAUUAUGCCUUGUCAAUGAGAAAUACAUCUGCUCCAAAGACAAACUCUCUGUAGACAGAGGCCUCCGCGGCACACUCAAGUGCACUCAGAAAGCUACUCGGUGAAAACGGAAUUAGAACAAAAGGAAUCAGCUGAAUCCAGAGUUUAACGGAAAGGGCUGAGGUGGCCGGAUGCGCCCAUCUCCCCCUAGGCACAGUCUCAGCAGUGGGCCUGACCCCACGUCUGCCAGCUGAGGCUGUGGGUACUCUCGUGCGAUGUUAGGAUGGACACUGCCCACCCUGGUCUCUUCUUCACCUUUUCUAUGUUUUCACUACUGAUCAGCCUCCUGCAGAGAGACAUGUUUUUCUUUAGGGUGAUGGCAGCUCUGUGAGGGAGGAGAUAAUACAUCUCUCAUCAUUUCAGCAACAAAGAAAGAAAUCAGUGGUAGAAUGAGAGUCAUUGCUCCAUGAGCCAUGAGCACGUCUCCAGCGCGAAGCUCCUCAAUACAAGACCUCUGCAUCACGUGAACCCUUUCUCAGGGGCAAAGUCUAAAGAAUAUGAAAUGGAGAAUCUACCUGUAACACAAGUCCCAGCAUGUCAUUUCACCUGUCUCCUGCAACUGGAAAACAGAAGCAACAGAAUUUCAACUACAAAGAUGAAUUACAUUCAGGAAUGACCAAACAACAAGAAAAAGCCAACUCCAGUAAAGACAGAAAGCAAACUCAAACAACAAAUUAGUUAACAGAGAAAGCACGAGAGGACUUUAGAAUAGCAGCAUUAAUAUCUGCAGGCAGAGGUAAGCAGAUAGUUUAUCCACGAAAAGGAAUCGACUAAAGAUUAUACAAAUAUAAAGUGUUAUUAAUAAAACACUCAAUAUAUGGGCUGACCAUGGUGGUCCAUGCCUGUAAUCCCAGCACUUUGGGAGGCUGAGGUGGGAGGAUUGCUUGAGGCCAGGAGUU